This is an RNA transcript of Pezoporus flaviventris, 3550 nucleotides long. It is a transcript of the gene named von Willebrand factor C domain containing 2 like, with no coding region annotated. NCBI's taxonomy places the organism in Eukaryota, Metazoa, Chordata, Aves, Psittaciformes, Psittacidae. The transcript is spliced from 5 exons. The record is from RefSeq and is a predicted model, not a curated record.
CACACGCGACACCAGAGCCGGGCGCACCUUCCGCGGUGCCAGCCACGGGGAAGAUGUGAAGUUUUAAUCAUGCAGACAGAGCGGGGGUGCGGCGCUCCCCCCGCAGCACAAGCUCCGGACGCCGGCAGCAGCGAGCAGGACUUGGGGCGAGCGGCGGCGGGGAGCGGCGGAAAUACCGCCGCCCGCCCGCGGGCACAGCGGCCAUGGCGCGCCCGCGGGCCUGAGCGCUCCGCAGACGGAUUUAUUUAUGUUUCGUCCCCCUCUUCCCUCUUUUCCCCCCCUUCUUUUCCUACCACAAUUAUAAUUCAUUCCAAUAAUAAGAGGCGGGAGCGCGGAGCGGCGCAGUCCGCAGCGGGCAUGCCCGGCCCCCGGCCCGGGAAGUCCCCGCAGGGGAGCGGGGGCUGCCCGCCCGCCGGCCGCGGGGCUCCUCUGCCGCCCCUCUGUCGCCUGCCCACAGCAUAACCAGCCCCCUUUCCCCCCCCCUCCCUCCCUCGCCGUGGCAAAUCUUGGAGCGCAAGAGAUCCGCUGGGCAUAGGGAGGGGAUAUAUAGAUGUAUAUGGUUUUUUUUUUCUCUUCUCCCCCACCCCCCCGGUCCUUCCCCCUCUCCAAGACCUGAGGAAAUCCAGCCCAAGUUCGCCGCGAUGACUGUGCUGCUGGCAUCGGGGUUUCUCAGCGGCAUCCCAGCCUCUGGACCGCCUCGCCGCUGCUCGCUUUGAAUCUUGAACGCUGGGUUAAAGCUUAAUUCUCACGUUGUGGUUGCUGGGCUGCUGCUUUCCCGUGUUUUGCAAUGGGAGGUGGAGGAAAAGGGCUUGUCCGUGAGUCAACACUGAAAAUGUGAUUAGGACGAACUGCUUUUACUAAUCUGUUUCUAACCUUUUAGUCCAUGUUGGCCUGUGACCCCUUUCAGCUUUCAGAUCGAGCCUGAUUAGACCACAACACUGGUCUCCCUAUGGAAGCAGCUGUUUCCAUCUGGCAUUGAGAUCCUAUGGAGCAGCUGAGGAGGGGGAUGGCUCUUCGUAUCCAUGAUGCCUGGAUGCUUCUUUUUGUAAUCCCUGCUUUGGUCACCCCAGCUGCCAUCAAUCAUGAAGACUACCCUGCUGAUGAAGGGGACCAGACCUCCAGCAAUGACAAUCUGAUCUUUGAUGACUACCGAGGGAAGGGCUGUGUGGAUGACAGUGGCUUUGUGUACAAACUGGGAGAACGUUUUUUCCCGGGGCAUUCCAACUGUCCCUGUGUCUGUACUGAGGAUGGACCUGUUUGUGAUCAGCCAGAAUGCCCUAAAAUCCACCCAAAGUGUACAAAAGUGGAACACAACGGAUGCUGUCCAGAAUGCAAAGAAGUGAAAAACUUUUGUGAAUAUCAUGGGAAAAAUUACAAAAUCUUGGAGGAAUUUAAGCCCUCGCCAUGCGAAUGGUGUCGCUGCGAGCCCAGCAAUGAAGUUCACUGUGUUGUAGCAGACUGCGCAGUUCCUGAGUGUGUCAACCCAGUCUAUGAACCAGAACAGUGUUGUCCUGUCUGCAAAAAUGGAAUUCCUGAAAUGGCCAGAUUUUAAGAUUGCAGUUAAAACCCCUUCAGUCAAAGUCUAUGCAAUACGCUGAUUGGGUGUGCAGAUGCAAGUUGAGUGUGACCAGCCAAGAAGAUGUAUCCCCCAUGCUGGACUUUGGUGGACUCCACAAUCCUCUUCAGAGGUCCCAGAGACUGAAGCUGGUAGCCUAGCAUAGCAGCCUCACCCUUUGUUCUUGGUGGAUAAAGUAUUCAUGGCAGCCAGACAGGUUUUUGGGUACUCAGUUGACCCCACCACCCUGUUCAGAUCUCUGAGUGGUCACAGGAAGGACCUGCUCCUCUUCAGGCAAUGCUUGCCCAGCGCAUGGAGGCUGAUGGUUGUGUCAUGGCUGACUCCUUAGCACUGCUGUGCUGAUGCAGAGAUGCCACCCCUGAUCAGGAGUCAUCUUCCAGUUUUGCAGAACCUGUAGAAGCCAUCUGAACAUUGCAAUGACAGAGCCCAGAGCACCAAGACUUCGUGGCCAGCUGUGAACAUCGAUGGUCUUGGAAGGCUGAAUACAGAAGAAAAUUCCUGAGACUACAAAGGAUGCAUUUUUGAUGGUUUGAAAGCUAGUGUUCUUUGUAUUUACCAGAAGGAAUGUAAACUGUGGUGCCCUAUUAGCUUAAUUAAAGGACUGAUUUGAUUACCAACAGAGGGGAAAGAAGGAUCAAUUUAAGCAGUGGUAGACGAUCACGACUGAAAACAAGGUGGUAUAUUUGGCCAAGAAGUCACCAGCCUGACAAAAUACUUCAGUACUUACUUCACUGUUCCUUGAAAAAUGUCAUUUCCCUGAAGUUGGUUUUCAGUGGAGCUCAUUCACCUCCAUCACUCUGGGCUAAGUGAUUAAAGGCAUGUAGGUGCUGAAUUAGCUGAUAAGAGUUAGGUAUGUAAGCACCUGUCAAGAGCUAGCUCCUCCAUUGCUUUUGGAAAUCUCCAAAGAGAGAUCCAGUUGGAUUUAUCUGGAUGCUUAAAUGUCCUGCUAACUCAAAACUAUACCCUGCUCCCUGUGGACACAGCUGUUGGAAGAGUCAUCUAAUAAUGGUGAAAAGCUUUGGAAAGGUAUAUAGAGGUUACACCUUCCAAAACUGGUUAUCCUGAUGCUGGAUUGCAUCGAGGAGGACUGAGUUGAAUCUGCCACCUCCUGAAGUUUAGAAGAAGGAGAGACUAAAAGAGGCAAGUGAGAGGAAAAGCCUUUAGAGAACAAAAAAGACAUGAACUGAACAGUGCUUAAUGUGAUUAACUCCAUCACACAGCUCAGUGCUCACACAGAGUAGAAGCUGCUGGACUGUGUAGCCUCAGAGUGACAGGGAUGCUGCCAGGAAAAGCUCCAUUCAAAGAGUGCUGUGUAGGGAGCCAGCGGGACAGCAGCCUCUUUGACCAGACAUGUCCAUCUGCAUGCUCACAGGUCAGCUAAUGCUUCCCAAGCAUUUGUGAUCUCUUCCUCUGCCCAGGAAACAAGCAGAGGAUAAUUCACAUAUUAAACAAGGUGGAAGAAGACUCUGCCAGACAGCCAAAAGCAGUAUAGGAACUGAAAGCCACUGUCCUGCUUAUGUACCCCAGGCCCUAACCAUGUUUCCAUGCUUUCAUCCCCGCAGAGUCCAAAAUGAAUGUCUACAGGCACCCUAAGGAGAAGGGUUUGGGAGGAUUAUGAAAAGUCAUUUCUUGGAUGAGACUUGUGCCAAAGUUCUCAUUGAGCAGACACAGCUCACAGAGACGUGGGAAGCACAUUACAUCGUCUCUGCAUUGCUCUUUAAACUCAGAAAUAUUUAUGAAGAAGCAUUUGCUCAUCGGUGACUGUUUCUCCUUGGGAAAAAUGUUGCUGAAAUUUGUGUGCACAAGCCUAUGGCAGGGGUAGCUCAAGAUCCACUACAAUCAUGAUAGUCCAAACUGCUUUGCAGGAACCACGAUAAUUCCUGCCGGCAUCGAGGUGAAGGUGGACGACUGCAACAUCUGCCACUGCCACAAUGGGGACUGGUGGAAGCCGGCGCAGUGCUCCAAGCGCGAGUG